CAGGAUCCUCGCUGUAAACUGGAGAAACUGUGGUUGUAUAAUUGUGGCGUCACAGAUGAAGGUUGUGCUGCUCUGACUUCAGCUCUGAGAUCAAACCCCUCACACCUGAGAGAACUGAAUCUGUCUCUGAAUAAACUAAGAGAUUCAGUGAAGCUGCUUUCUGAUGUACUACAGGAUCCUCGCUGUAAACUGGAGAAACUGUGGUUGUAUAAUUGUGACGUCACAGAUGAAGGUUGUGCUGCUCUGACUUCAGCUCUGAGAUCAAACCCCUCACACCUGAGAGAACUGAAUCUGUCUUACAAUAAACUAAGAGAUUCUAGUAGGAAGUUACUUUCUGAUCUGGAGAUGGAUCCACAUUAUAAACUGGAGACAUUACUCUAUUGACUCUCAGUGUUUAGACGUCAGUUCAGUUUCCUCAGGAUCAGCUGAUGGUGAAUAAGGAGCCGCUUCAGAGACGUCACAGACACACAAUCAACACAGACUGUGUGAUGGGGACACAAGAAUUUAGAGAUGUUCAUUUUCCUGACCGACUCCCUACGCUCGUUAUCUCAUUAUUGACUGUUGACAAAAUUAGAAUGUUACAUUAGAUUUAAAUUAAAUUAUAUAAUAAUCUGUAUGUCCAAAAUUCGUUUUCACUGUAAUAAGGAAAACUAAAAAUCAAGUGAUUGCAAACGGAUCUCGUGGGAAACUUUUGUGUUCGUGCAGAAUGAGAUGUUGAUAUAUUUCUCUUUAAAUACUUUUUAUUUCUAAAUGUUUAUAUGUUGUUUAUAACAAAUAAUUUUAUAGCUGCUUAUAUUUUCUGCUUUGUAUUUUCCUCUGGUCUGAAUACUGUAAAAUUUAAAGGAUUCGAAAAUGAUUUUUUCUUCUCUCAACACAAUUUUGACUGAUAUGUGUACAGCAGAUAUUUUAUAUGUAUUUUUUUAUCCAUGCAGCAAAUGUUUUUCAAACAUGUUUAAAAAAAAGCUUUGGGGAGAAAAUAAGUUUUUAAUCUUUAUAAGUAAAACAUUGUCAUGAAUUUGCAAACCAAUGUACAACCAGCUGGGAACAAAAGAGCUUGCUGUAAUUGACUAAAUUCAGAUUGCUGUUAUACAUGUAUUGCAAAUGAAUA
Molecule: long non-coding RNA, 1108 nt
Organism: Carassius auratus (goldfish)
Lineage: Eukaryota; Metazoa; Chordata; Actinopteri; Cypriniformes; Cyprinidae
Exons: 4
Source: RefSeq, a predicted model, not a curated record